This 259-nucleotide ribosomal RNA is filed under the name uncultured bacterium. Its description in RNAcentral is "partial 16S ribosomal RNA". It matches the Rfam family "Bacterial small subunit ribosomal RNA", at positions 28 to 280 of the family's 1533-position model. The record is from RNAcentral.
GACGAACGCUGGCGGCGUGCUUAACACAUGCAAGUCGAGCGGUAAGGCCCUUUCGGGGUACGACCGAGGCGGCGAACGGGUGAGUAACACGUGGGUGACCUGCCUUUAGCUCUGGGAGUAAGCCGUGGGAAACUAGGGUCGUAAUACCGGAUAUGACUCCGCGGUGCAUGCUGUGGGGUGGAAAGCCUUGUGCGGCUGGAGAUGGGCCCGCGGACCUAUCAGCUUGGUUGGUGGGGUGAUGGCCUACCAAGGCGACGAC